RNAcentral lists this unclassified non-coding RNA (389 nucleotides) under rhizosphere metagenome. RNAcentral describes it as "partial ribosomal RNA internal transcribed spacer region". The record is from RNAcentral.
GUAGGUGAACCUGCGGAAGGAUCAUUAACACGUAUCCACGUAUCCACCAACGAGAUGUACGUUUUCAACGCUCUCCGUCGGAUUAAUGAACUGAGCUUUCGUAUUGUCAUUGAGAGGGAUAGCUUCGGCGUCAGACUUUACUCGCGAACUUGCAUCGGCGCAGCUUUUUGGUAGCGUCGGUGCAGACAGUUGUAUAAUUCGGCGGAUUCACGCUCACUAUGUUCGGGUCUCCUUUCAUUGACUUUUUCUGUGAGCAACAAUUUACCCAUAUCACCCCCUUUUUGCUAGUUGACUUUUAUCUGUUGCACUGCGUGUUUCGGCACGUGUGCACACGUUUGAUUAUUUGAACGUUAAAAAUACAACUCUUAGCAAUGGAUAUCUAGGUUCUC